AGUGAACGCUGGCGGUAGGCCUAACACAUGCAAGUCGAACGGCAGCACAGUAAGAGCUUGCUCUUACGGGUGGCGAGUGGCGGACGGGUGAAGAAUACAUCGGAAUCUACUUUUUCGUGGGGGAUAACGUAGGGAAACUUACGCUAAUACCGCAUGCGACCUACGGGUGAAAGCAGGGGAUCUUCGGACCUUGCGCGAUUGAAUGAGCCGAUGUCGGAUUAGCUAGUUGGCGGGGUAAAGGCCCACCAAGGCGACGAUCCGUAGCUGGUCUGAGAGGAUGAUCAGCCACACUGGAACUGAGACACGGUCCAGACUCCUACGGGAGGCAGCAGUGGGGAAUAUUGGACAAUGGGCGCAAGCCUGAUCCGGCCAUACCGCGUGGGUGAAGAAGGCCUUCGGGUUGUAAAGCCCUUUUGUUGGGAAAGAAAAGCAGCAGGUUAAUACCCCGCUGUUCUGACGGUACCCAAAGAAUAAGCACCGGCUAACUUCGUG
RNAcentral lists this ribosomal RNA (492 nucleotides) under uncultured bacterium. RNAcentral describes it as "partial 16S ribosomal RNA". It matches the Rfam family "Bacterial small subunit ribosomal RNA", at positions 29 to 507 of the family's 1533-position model. The record is from RNAcentral.